This 501-nucleotide ribosomal RNA is filed under the name uncultured bacterium. RNAcentral's name for it is "partial 16S ribosomal RNA". It matches the Rfam family "Bacterial small subunit ribosomal RNA", at positions 30 to 523 of the family's 1533-position model. The record is from RNAcentral.
AUUGAACGCUGGCGGCAGGCUUAACACAUGCAAGUCGAGCGGAGAUGAGGUGCUUGCACCUUAUCUUAGCGGCGGACGGGUGAGUAAUGCUUAGGAAUCUGCCUAUUAGUUGGGGACAACAUUCCGAAAGGAAUGCUAAUACCGCAUACGUCCUACGGGAGAAAGCAGUGGAUCUUCGGACCUUGCGCUAAUAGAUGAGCCUAAGUCGGAUUUGGUAGUUGGUGGGGUAAAGGCCUACCAAGGCGACGAUCUGUAGCGGGUCUGAGAGGAUGAUCCGCCACACUGGGACUGAGACACGGCCCAGACUCCUACGGGAGGCAGCAGUGGGGAAUAUUGGACAAUGGGGGGAACCCUGAUCCAGCCAUGCCGCGUGUGUGAAGAAGGCCUUAUGGUUGUAAUGCACUUUAAGCGAGGAGGAGGCUACUGAGACUAAUACUCUUGGAUAGUGGACGUUACUCGCAGAAUAAGCACCGGCUAACUCUGUGCCAGCCGCCGCCGUAA